AGUGAACGCUGGCGGUAGGCCUAACACAUGCAAGUCGAACGGCAGCACAGUAAGAGCUUGCUCUUACGGGUGGCGAGUGGCGGACGGGUGAGGAAUACAUCGGAAUCUACUUUUUCGUGGGGGAUAACGUAGGGAAACUUACGCUAAUACCGCAUACGACCUACGGGUGAAAGCAGGGGAUCUUCGGACCUUGCGCGAUUGAGUGAGCCGAUGUCGGAUUAGCUAGUUGGCGGGGUAAGGGCCCACCAAGGCGACGAUCCGUAGCUGGUCUGAGAGGAUGAUCAGCCACACUGGAACUGAGACACGGUCCAGACUCCUACGGGAGGCAGCAGUGGGGAAUAUUGGACAAUGGGCGCAAGCCUGAUCCAGCCAUACCGCGUGGGUGAAGAAGGCCUUCGGGUUGUAAAGCCCUUUUGUUGGGAAAGAAAAGCAGCAGGUUAAUACCCCGCUGUUCUGACGGUACCCAAAGAAUAAGCACCGGCUAACUUCGUG
This 492-nucleotide ribosomal RNA is filed under the name uncultured bacterium. RNAcentral's name for it is "partial 16S ribosomal RNA". It matches the Rfam family "Bacterial small subunit ribosomal RNA", at positions 29 to 507 of the family's 1533-position model. The record is from RNAcentral.